Molecule: RNA transcript, 15193 nt
Organism: Eriocheir sinensis (Chinese mitten crab)
Lineage: Eukaryota; Metazoa; Arthropoda; Malacostraca; Decapoda; Varunidae
Gene name: ATP-binding cassette sub-family C member 5-like
Exons: 32
Source: RefSeq, a predicted model, not a curated record
CAGUCUGGCCGUAAGGAUUGUGUGCUCUGAAGAAAACAAAAGAAUAAAGAAAAAAAGAAAAUAAGGAGAGAAGAAAAAAGAAGUCUAGUCUAGUGGAGAUAAAAGACAAUUUGGAAAGAAGAAAAGACGAAAAUUGAGUGAGGUAAAGUUUUGAAGGACUACGAUUACCACUACUACUACUACUACUACAACUACUACUACUACUACUGCUACUACUACUACUACUACUGCUACUACUACUACUACUGCUACUACUACUACUAUUGCUACUACUGCUGGGAAUAAGGCCUUAAAACGGUUUUUCUCUAUCAUGCACAAUUGGGGCUCAUCCGGCAGUAUCACCCUGAACCACCCUGCACAGCCCACGCCCUCCCCCACGCCCUCACGCCCAGCCCCCGCCUACAGGAACAACCCCAGUGACGCCCAGACCGAGGAGGAGACCCGGAGGUUACGCCAGGAUGAGAGUCAGGACCUGGACCAUAUCAAAGUCGAGGACAAGGAGACGCGGUGUUGCCAAUCCAAGUAUAGUCAGGCUCUCAAGCACCUCCUGCCAUGCCGACCCGCGAGAAAGGACAAGAACCUCCUCCCGAGCAACAACGCGGGCUUCUUCAGCUACCUGAGUGUCACCUGGCUCACGCAGCUCAUGAUCAAGGCCUACAGACACGGCCUCGACCCAGGGGACAUGUGGAAGCUACAACAUGAGGACGGCGCGGAGGUCAACUCUACGAGGAUGGAGCGGCUCUGGGAGGAGGAGAAGGAUAUUAUGACGAAGACCAAAAGGAAGCCGGAGCUCUGGAGGGCCGUCUGGAGGGCCAUGAGAACCAGAGUGAUCGUUUGCAUGACUAUCUCCGUUAUCCAGAAUAUACUGCAGUUCUUCGGCCCGUCCAUAAUGCUGAAGCUGGUGCUGGACUACAUCGCUGAGCCUGAGACUGACCUCCUUUAUGCCAGCCUCAUCACGGUGGGGACCUUCGCCAUCAACCUCAGCCGCGGCGCCGCCUUCAACGCCAUGUUCGUGGUGGGCACUCACACAGCUACGAGGAUCACAGGGGCGGUGCAGGCGAUGAUCUACAAGAAGGUUCUGCGGCUGAAGACUGGUGGGGAGAGGCUGUCCGCGCAGAUCAUCAACUUCUCCAACAACGACAUGGAGAGACUCUUUGAAGCCUGCCUCUCCUGCGUCUUCAUAACCGCCAUGCCAGUCCUCUUCACCAUGAGCGUCAUCUACUGCCUCUACAUCCUCGGCCCUUGGUCACUGCUCGGCCAAGGCGUCUACAUACUCUUCUAUCCCCUCAUGGCAGUGAUCGCCAAGGCCCAGAGCAGCAUCAGGACAGAGACGGUGAAGGUGACGGACAAGCGUGUGGCCCUGAUGAGCGAGGUUCUUAACAGCAUGCGACUCAUCAAAAUGUAUUCAUGGGAAGACUCGUUCUCCAGGAAGAUCUCAGACAUCAGGAAGGAGGAACUGAAGAAGCAUCGUGUCGGGGCGUUGCUACAGGCCGUCAGCUCCACCAUCACGCCCAGCAUCAGCAUCCUGGCCACCAUCGUCACCUUGAUGGGAUACACUCUCUCAGGCUCCCCACUCAAAUCCUCUGAGGCCUUCACCAUCUUCUCCGUGUUCAACAUGAUGCAGUUCACCAUCGGCGUUCUCCCCUUCACUGUGAGGUCCAUCGCCGAGGCCAAGAUCUCCAUGACCAGGAUACAGAAACUAAUGGAGCUUCCGGAGCACCACAAGGAUGCAGGCGGGCAGCUCAACAACAACCUGGCGCUGCAGAUCAAGGACGCAGACUUCUCGUGGGAGGUUCUCAACAUUGACUUUAAGCAGAAGGGUUCCCGAGCCAGCCCCACUAAAUCCUCCUCCAGUGAUAAGCUAAAGAAUGGGGAUGCUAAAAAUGGCAGCAAACACACGAACGGCCACGUGAAGAGCAACCACACCAACGGGAACAGCAACAGCCCCAUCAAGGCCACCACCGAGGACACCAACGGCAACACCACCACCUCCGACAUCACCAAGAGCGUCGACACCCUCUUCAACAUCAACGUGUCGAUUGAACGCGGGAAACUUGUGGGUGUGUGUGGCAGCAUCGGUGCGGGGAAGAGCUCGCUGAUCUCGGCCCUCUGUGGUGAUAUGAUCACCAAGAACGGCAGCAUGCAAGUGAACGGUCGUCUGGCGCUGGUGACACAACAGGCGUGGAUCUACAACGACACCUUCCGGGAGAACCUCUUGGUGGGGCAGGGCUAUGACGCGGAGAAGUACAGGAAGGUGAUACGUGUCUGCUCGCUGGAGUCCGACAUUGAGCUCCUGGCGAACGGGGACAUGACGGAGAUUGGGGAGCGAGGAAUUAACUUGAGCGGUGGCCAGAAGCAGCGGGUCAACCUGGGUCGUGCCGUGUACAGUGACCGUGACAUUUACCUCCUGGACGACCCCCUGAGCGCCGUGGACACCAAGGUCGCGCGGCACAUCUUCAACCAGUGCAUCAAGGGCCACCUGGCGGACAAGACGGUUAUUUUGGUCACCCACGCACCACACUUCCUCGAGAAAUGCGACGAGAUCAUUGUGAUGCAGGAGGGGAGGAUCGCCGACAGAGGGACUCACGCUGAACUGAUUGCAAGGAAGGGGGAAUACUUCGACAUGGUGGGCCACGAGCCAUCCCACAGCAGCCAGGAGGAACAGGACAAGGAGGAGACCAAGGAGACAGAUGUGAAGGGAGAAACUAUAAUGAAAAAGGAGGCAGAGAAGGAAGGUGACCAGGAGAAGGGGAAGCUGAUCACCGAGGAGACCAAGGCGACCGGGAGCGUGAGCAAUGAGGUGUAUCGGACGUUUAUCAAGGUGAGUGGCGGCUGGUGCAUCACAGGGAUCAUCUUCUUCGCCAUCAUCAUCUUCACCCUCAGCCGUAUGUUCAGCGCGAUCUGGCUUCAGUACUGGUUGGAUCAGGGUGACGGACAAAUCGAAGAGCGUAUGAUGAAUAUUAGCGAGUACAACCUCACGCUGUCGGAGGAGGAGAUCAAGGGCAGCAUCGUGGAGAACCCGGCGCUGUGGUUCUAUCAGCUGGUCUACUGCCUCAGCUUCAUCCUGCUGCUCAUCACUGGGGUCGUUAAAGGCAUUGGCGUGACCUUCAGGGUGCUGGCGGGCGCGUCCAAGCUCCACAACCACAUGUUCAUCAGCAUCCUCCGUUCCCCGAUGAGCUUCUUCGACACCACACCUACCGGCCGCAUCCUCAAUAGGUUCUCGAGGGACUUGGACGAGUUGGACGUGCGAGUUCCGUUCUUCCUCGAGUUCCUGCUGCAGGGGCUCCUCUUCGUGGCCGGCCAGAUCAUCCUCGUCUGCUUCAUCUAUGUGUGGUUCAUCAUUCCCCUUGUCUUCAUUUCUGUUCUCUUCCUCGUGGUGGACAUCUUCCUGAACGCCGGUGUGAGGGAGCUGAAGCGUCUCGACAACACCCUCAAGUCACCCAUCACCCAGCACAUCGGCUCAUCCAUCAGCGGCCUCAGCGUCAUCCGCACGUUCGACAAGGAAAAACUCUUCACUCAUCGGAUGUACAAGUAUCUGGACAAGCACUCGGCCGCCCUGCUCGUGUUCCGUCUCUCCAAUCGCUGGUUCACCUUCCGCAUGGACAUAAUCUCGAUGAUGGUCACGCUCGCCAUCACUGCCAUCUGUGUGUUCACCAAGGGCGCCGUCAGCACUGCCCUCGCCGGCCUUGCUCUCUCGAUGAUCAAUGGGGUGUGUGCGUUCACCCCGUUCCUGAUGAGGAUGAAGUCAGAGUUCCAGUCCCGCGUCACCUCCGUGGAGCGCAUCAUCGAGUACGCCUACGGCCUGACCAGUGAAGCGCCAAGGGAGAUCCCCGAGACAUGCCCCGCCCAGCCCUGGCCUGCUCACGGCACCAUCGAGCUACAGGAGGUGAAGCUGCGGUACCGGCCUGACCUGCCCCUCGUCCUCCACGGCAUCAGCGCCACCAUCAACGCCGGGGAGAAGAUAGGCAUCGUCGGGCGGACUGGAGCGGGCAAGUCAUCGCUCAUCUCCACGUUGCUGCGGAUGAGUGAGUUGGAUUCCGGCCGCGUGGUCAUCGACGGGGUGGAUGUGAGCGUGGUCGGGCUCCACACACUGCGCUCCAGCAUCUCCGUCAUACCCCAGGACCCAGUGCUCUUCCAGGGGUCACUCAGGUACAACUUAGACCCCUUUGAGGCCCACACUGACGAGGAGGUGUGGCAGGCACUCGAGCAGUCGCACCUCAAGCCCGUGGUUCAGCGGCAGCAACACGGCCUGAGCUGCAAGGUGGAGGCGGGCGGGGAGAACUUUUCCGUCGGUGAGCGCCAGCUGAUCUGCCUGACGAGGGCGCUACUCAGGAACAGCAAGAUCUUGCUGCUGGAUGAGGCGACAGCAUCCGUGGACGUUGAGACUGACCACCUCAUCCAGGCCACCAUCCGGGAGGCGUUCCAGGCCAGCACGGUCCUCACCAUCGCCCACAGACUCAACACUGUCGCCCACUAUGAUAGGAUACUGGUCCUGGAGGCGGGCAAGGUCCAGGAGUUCGACACACCAGCGUCCCUCAUGAGCAAAGAAGGGUCACUAUUCCGGGAGAUGCUGGGUGCCAUGGGAGUGACCACAGUCGAACAAAUGCUGGCGCUCACCUAGUACCCCAUACCUCUUAAGUAAGGCAUUCACAGCUCCAGUGAUAUUGCGUGUAAGGUAUUUUUGUCAUCCCAUUGCGUACGUACAUUCUCUAGGCUUAACUACGCUAUAAAUAUGGAUGUACAAAGGGUUGAGUCCUUCCGAGUACGAGUUCGUGUCUCCAAGUGUGAUUCUGCUUUCGAGGGUGUCAAAAAUGAUGUCAUUCUAUAGCAUACACAUGUUUUCCUAGGCUCAAAUACAUGAUGGAUGAUACGUAUGUGUGGUAAUUCUCAUUUGGGGUAUAGGGAAGGAUUGGUUUGUGUUUUGUGUAGCUGCUUUAUCCCGAAAUCUAGUUGAGUUUGCCUUUCAUCUGCCGGGAAGAGAACGUAAGCUAAGGUGAGGGAGAACGUGUAGCACUGUGAGAGUGUGUUGGGAAUUGCUGCUGUAUCCUGAAAUCUAGUUGAGUUUGCCCUUCAUCUGCCGGGAAGAGAACGUAAGCUAAGGAGGGAGGAUGUACCGCUGUGAGAGAGUGUCGGGAGUUGCCCUGUAUCCUGAAAUCUAGUUGAGUUUGCCCUUCAUCUGCCAGGAAGAGAAUGUAAGCUAAGGAGGGAGGAUGUACCGCUGUGAGAGUGUCGGGAGUUGUCCUGUAUCCUGAAAUCUAGUUGAGUUUGCCCUUCAUCUGCCGGGAGAGAACGUAAGCUAAGGUGAGGAAGGACGUGUGAGAGUGUGUCAGGAGUUCGCCUAUAAGAAGAAUCUCUGUAUAUUCCCAUUCAAGCUAAGUCCCAUUCACAAUGUGCCGACUCUGGGCCACAACAACCCAGCGAUUCGGGGUAUACGAGGUCUUGGGUGUGAAAUGUUGAUGUGAAAGGGUUGCACACGGUCGGAAAUAGGUCUGUAAAUGAUCGCCGGAUGUUGAAGGGGGCUUAAAAGUCGCUCGGUUAUCAUGGCCCAGAGUCAGCACAGUGUGAACGGGGCUUUAGUUGACAGUGGCAUUACGUAAGGGAAAGAAGAUCACAGUUAUUUAUGCUCGUGUUAAGUAAAGAGAUGUAUAGUAGGAACGGAGAUAUAUUAGUGAUCAUGGAAGGUUACAAUAUAUAUGUUUAAAGAAUGGGUUUUGCAUAUUAAAGUUAAAACUGUGAGAGGUAGCAUUUUACAGUUAUUUACCUCCAUGUUAACUAAAGAGAUGUACAGUAGGAACGGAGAUAUAUUAAUGAUCAUGGAAGGUUACAAUAUGCAUGUUUAAAGAAUGAGAGUGUGUCAGGAGUUUGCCUAAAAGAAGAACCUGUUAAUUCCUGUUCAUGUUAGUCCACAGUGGUAUUAUGACGAAGAAUGAUGAUUACAGUUAUUUACCUUUGUGUUAACUAAAGAGAUGUACAGUAGGAACAGAGAUGAAUUGGUGAUCGUGGACGGUUACAAUAUACUUGUUUAAAGAAUGGAUGUUUGUGCGUAUUAAAGUUUAAAGUCGGGUAUAUUUUCAGACUGUGAGAGGUAGCAUUUUACAGUUACUUACCUUCAUGUUAACUAAAGAAAUGUACAGUAGAAACGAAGGUAAAUUAUGAUCAUGGAAGGUUACAAUAUAUGUGUUUAACCCCUAAAGGACCGGGGGUGGCUGUAUUUUCUGUUCUGCUGGGAUCGGCCUUCCCGUGCUAAACCCGGAAAUUGCCUGCAUUCACACACUUUCUACGCUUAACCUACAUUGCACGAGUGAAUAAGAUAGACUUUGUAAUAACCACCAAGUCUUCGUCUUUCUAAAGUCACCAUCUAGAAGUCUCUACGUGCUGUGGUUACGGAGGAACAGCGAGUUGAAUAGAAUAGACUUUUGGGGUGAGCGCACUGGUUAUAACCACCUCCGGCCCUUCUACAAAAAAGCUGCUAUAGCCACCUCCGGUCCUUUAGGGGUUAAAGAAUGGAUGUUUGCGUUAAAGUUAAAAGUUGGGUAUAUUUUCAAACUGUGAGAGGUAGCAUUUUAGAGUGGUACGUGAGACCUCUUGACCAAUGGAGUUUAUGUUUGUUAAUCCAAGUGUUUUGUAUCGUGUCGAGGAGUUUUAUCGCACGUGAAUGGCUGUAUUUACUUAAGGAAGGGGAGAAGGGUUGGCUGGCCUCAAGAACAGCUUUGAAUAUUGCUGGCCGAAGGGAAAAUAAGGAUGUCAAAUGAAAAAAAGAAGAAUUAAGAAGAAAAAGGAGCUGGGUGAUGUAGGUAUAAGUCUCCAUAUGCGUCUGAGCUCAGUGGUCGACGUAACUUACAAUUAUUAUUAUUAUCCGUGUAUCCCUGAGCUCUGUGUCAUGAGGUAUGGUUAGUAUAGGGGCUGGAGGUGUGUGUGUGUGUGUGUGUGUGUGUGUGUGUGUGUGUGUGUGUGAGUGAGUGAGUCUCUGUGUAUGUGUGUGUGUGUGUGUGGCAGGGUAGUAUUUUCAUGAUUCUCAGCAGAUGUUUUGUGGCACUGACAUUUGAAAGUCUAAACACUCUCCUAAAAUCUAUUUCUGCUUCACUAGAGGACAUGAAUCACUUUUUUUUCCAUUUUUCAUCGCAUCCAAUUAGUAGUAUUUCCAUGAUUCUCAGAAGAUGUCUUUUGGCACUGAAGGCAUUUGAAAGUCUAAACACUCUCCUAAAACUCUAUUUCGGCUUUGCUUGAGGACCGGAACCACUUUUUUAAAAUUUUUCAUCGUAUCCGACUAGUAAAUGGACGUAGUGUUAACCCCUUCAACACGAGGAUGCGUAUACUGCGUCCUUACGUGCGCCAUACCAUAUCCAAGGACGUGUAUACUGCGUCCUGGCUCGCUUUAGCCAGUAUACGAGUUAUUUCCUCUCUGUAUAUUUAUGCCUACAUCUCAAAAUUAUCAGAUAACUUGCUUCUUUAUGGGCAUCAUUUAAUUCUGCAUGUUUUCAUAUAUAAUACAUAUGUUGAGUUUACGGCUGAAAACUUGUCAUAUUCAAUAACGGCAUUUGACGCGCGCGGCGAUCUCGGAUACGGCACAGGGCGCUGUUUUGGCCCGGCCGUAGUGAAGGGGUUAAGGGAAUUACGUUAGCGAUAAUCUCCCUCUUCUCUCAUCGUUCUCUCCUUUCCUCCCAAUCAUGCUACCUCCCUUCUCGUUUAACCGUAAUAAUCUCCCUAUCCUCUCUUCUCUCCCUUCCUUCCUCCCCUUAUUCUUAACCAUUCUUUUGUGAUAGUGUCCGAGGGCAUUCAUGAGGAAACAAUCUGUAGACCACUGGCCGUAUCAUGAGUCAAAUCCGAGAUGUUUCAGGACUCACUGUUGCCAGAUUGUCGUACGCAGCCUUUGUACUUGCCGAUUGCCACCCCAAAUCUGUCUCCUCCACCCAAAUAACUAGAUCAAUUUAUAGUUAUCGUUAAAAUGGUUAAUUAUUGGCCGUUUCCUGGCAAUAAAUAUGAGUCAGGAGCCGGAAAGUACAAUGAUCUGAGUACCACGUAAAUUCAGAUUCCUACAGAGUUCGCGAUGGAUGACACUGUUGGGACUGAACACUUCUAGGAUUUGACUCGUAAUACAUCCCCUAAACCGAACUCUAGGGACCCAAAACUUCUCGGAUUCGACUCAUAACACGGCCCCAUAUUUUAAGGUGACCUGUGGGCUGCUACGUUAGUGUUAUUGGCGUGUCAAACGGUGUAACGAGGCUGCAAGGAGGUCGACUCGCUGUGAUGUUCCGCGUCCAGCCGUCAUCCGCAUACUCGGCCUAGUUUAAGAAGCAUAUUAAUAUAUUUUUGAUCAGAGAAAUUAUCGGUAUUUAUAUAUAUUCAUAGUAAUGUACGAGGAUAUAUAUAUACGCUAUAGUAAGAUAUGCAAGAUCGCUACGGUUAUGUAUUGUCUAAGGCGUUACAUGUGAUCUAUGGGAUAAUGUUUGUGUGGUAGCGUCGGUCUGUGGUCGGUAGAUGUAGAUUUGUUAGUCCGUGGUGUUCGCUGUUGGCAUUUGUGUUUCUCUAAGUACAGACGACACUCUAUGUAACAUGUUUUUUGAAGAAUUUCCUUAUGUCACAUUCUUGAGCUCACCCCCUCACAGACACAAACACAAAAGAAGAUGUAGUUUUGUUAGUCUCUGGUGUUCGCUGUUGGCAUUUGUGUUUCUCUAAGUAUAGAUGACACUCUAUGUAACAUGUUUUUUUUUAGAAUUUCCUUAUGUAACGUCCUUGAGCUCACCCCCUCACAGACACAAACACAAAAGAAGAUGUAGUUUUGUUCAUCUCUGGUGUUCGCUGUUGGCAUUUGUGUUUCCCUAAGUACAGACGACCCUCUAUGUAACAUGUUUUUUUUUAGAAUUUCCUUAUGCCAUGCCCUUGAGUUUCCUCCCUCAAAAACACACAAAAACCAUCCCAUCUUCUCUUUUCUUAUAAGUUCGGCGAUGAAGAGUCCCGGAGUCAUUGAGUUUAAUGUUUAUUCAUCGUUUUAGCCACACUACGAGCCACACCUCCUCUCAUAACCACACCCAUGCAGCCACAUCACUGAAUAUUAGAACUUCAUCUGACGUCACAUCUGCCUUACGAUUUCACAUAGUUAACCCUCGCCAAAGCCACAUUCCAUCAUGGCCACAUUCUUACCAUCCACAACCACAUCUCUGAACAUCACUGCACCACAUGUCACACCUCACACAUUCAGCUAGACCACAUCACAAACCACAUUAGCAAAUUUUGUAUUCUCAUCUCUUUCACUUUGCUGUUUUUCUGUACCGUGGCCACACCAUCCCAGCCGCACCAUCUACCAGCCAUACCCGACCAUGCUACGAUUUUUAGUGUGACCGCAUCAUCCUGGAUAUUGCCUCUGAAGUGCCAGAUACUUGAGACUUGUCCACACUUAUCACAGUCACACCCUUUUAGACCACAUCUUUGAACUGAGCCACACCAAACCACACUUGACCACAUCUCUGUAUCACCAGCAUCUCCAUGAAGUGCCACAUACCUAAGACAUGGCCACACUUAUCACAGCCACACCCAUUUAGACCACAUCUUUGAACUGAGCCACACCAAACCAUACCUGACCAGAUCCCUGUAUUACCAACACCUCCAUGAAUUGCCAGAUACGUGAGACUUGUCCACACUUAUCACAGUCACACCCAUUUAGACCACAUCUUUGAACUGAGCCACACCAAGCCAUACCUGACCAGAUCCCUGUAUCACCAACACCUCCAUGAAGAGCCACAUACCUACAACAUGGCCACACUAAUCACAAACACACCCUUUUAGACCACAUCUUUGAACUGAGCCACACCAAGCCAUACCUGACCAGAUCCCUGUAUUACCAACACCUCCAUGAAUUGCCAGAUACUUGAGACUUGUCCACACUUAUCACAGUCACACCCUUUUAGACCACAUCUUUUAACUGAGCCACACCAAACCAUGCCUGACCACAUCUCUGUAUCACCAGCAUCUCCAUGACGUGACACAUACCUAAGGCAUGGCCACACUAAUCACAGUCACACCCUUUUAGACCACAUCUUUGAACUGAGCCACACUAAACCAUACCCAGCCAGAUCCCAGUACCACCAGUGUCUCCAUGAAGCAUCACAUACCUUCAACAUGGCCACACUAAUCUCAGACACACCCUUUUAGACCACAUCUUUGAACUGAGCCACACCAAGCCAUACCUGACCAGAUCCCUGUAUCACCAACACCUCCAUGAAGAGCCACAUACCUACAACAUGGCCACACUAAUCUCAGACACACCCAUUUAGACCACAUCUUUGAAUCCAAACACGCCCAGCCACACUUGACCACAUCCCUGUACCACCAGUGUCUCCAUGAAGCACCACAUACCUAAGACAUGGCCACACUUAUCCCAGCCACACCCAUUUAGACCACAUCUUUGAAAUGAGCCACACUAAACCAUACUCAACCACAUCCCUGUACCACCAAUGUCUCCAUGAAGUGCCACAUACCUAGGACAUGGCCACACUUAUCACAGUCACACCCUUUUAGACCACAUCUUUGAACUGAGCCACACUAAACCAUGCCUGACCACAUCUCUGUAUCACCAGCAUCUCCAUGAAGUGCCACAUACCUUCAACAUGGCCCCACUAAUCUCAGACACACCCAUUUAGACCACAUCUUUGAACUGAGCCACACCCAACCACACCCAGCCAGAUCCCUAUACCACCAGAGCCUCCACCUAACCAUACAACCAUAACCCUGAGCAAAACCACACCCAGCCACACGCCAGCCAGAUCCCUGUACCACCUGCGUCUGAACCUAACCAUAUAACCCUGACCCAAGCCGCACCCACCCUGACCACAUCACCUUUCCUCUGGCUUUCACAUAGGCCUAGAGGUGACAGCUGCCUUCCGUAUGACCAGCUCAGGGCCGAGUCACACUGCCAUGAUCAAGGGAGGGGGGGAGGGGGGGGGAAGGGGAAGCAGAUUAAAGCCCGUAUCCUAAGACAUUUCCGCCUCUCAAGUCAACUAUUCUUCCAAAGGCCCGAAAGUUGAUCAGUCGGGUUCUAAUGAGUGUUUCCCUAGGUUCGAGGUACAGAAGAAGGGCCGGACUACCACCAGGGCUGUUGAACUACCACCGAAUAAGCCUGGAACUCCCGCAAAAGUUUGUUAAGGGGCGAUUACACUGGGCGAAUUUUCAGUGCAUCUUCAGUCAAACCAUGAUUUCCGCUGGCGUGGUUUUCAUAUUUCCGUGUCCACGAUCUUCCAAAGCUACGGUAGAUUUCACUGAAGGACGACGGUAUUACUCACCAUCAUCAGCAGCAACAAUAACAAGGAACAAAUGAGAACCACGCUAUCGGAAAUCAUGGUGUGACUGAAGAUCCACGGAAAAUUUGCCCAGUGUAAUCGCCCCUUAACAAACACACUUUUACGGGAGUUCCAGGCUUUUUUGGUACUAGCUCUAUGGCCCUGGUGGUAGUUCGACCCUUCUGUACCUCGAACCUAGAAACACAUUGACUAGAACCCAACUGAUUAAAAAUACAUAUAUAGCCCCUUAAAUGUUAAAAUGUUUGAGGAUAUGGAGUCUAAACUAGCAACCAGUCAUUGCCUACACAUCCACCCACCACACGGCAGGGACACAACCCACAGACAAGUUCCUCUUACGGUGUUCUCUAUAUAGACCAGCAUUUCCUUCUUAUAACCAACGUGUCACUCUUAGGAAAACCCGCAGUAAGGCCUUGAAUAGUCGGAGGUUGUGUGUGAUUUCUGGGUCCUGCGUGUGAUAUGAUAUUGGCUACCAGUGAAGGCCAAAUCCGUGCCAAUCUCAGCGGACGGGUUAAGAAUGAUGGGAACAGAAAGUAUGUCACUGAGAAUUUGGGUAAACAAGUGUGUAGCAUGUUCAAAGUGAUGUGCAGGUAGUCGCUCCUUCCAUACAAGAAACCGUAGUGUUGUGUGUGAGAGAUUCGGGUUUUGAAAGUGAAGGAAGGAUUGGACGAGCUAGAGAGGUGAUUUGAAUAUGAUUACUGGAAAAGAGAAAUUAAUAAAAAAAUAGACAGAUAAAUAAUAGAAAGUAAUGAUUAGCUCCUCUUAAAAUGAAAAUAAGCAAGAAGUCCUGAUUUGAAUAUGAUACCAGAACAAUAAAUAAGCUAAAUAAGAAAUGACCAAGAAAUGAUGGAGAAAUUUUACGAGUUCCCGUCACUGUCCGUCAUUAUUUUGUUAUGGAAAGUAGCAGAUGAAACAUUAUCAAGUUAUCAAAGUAUUAAGGAAGAGUCUCAUUCAUCACUGUUCGUCAGGAUCUCAUUAUGGACAGUGGUAGACCAAACACUAUCAAGUCAUCAGAGUAUUAAUGAAAAGUCUCAUUCAACUGUCUUUUCACAGAUGAUACGUAAAAUAUUAAUCAAGGUCAAAAGAUAUAUAGACAUGUGUGUGUGUGCAUAUAUAUAUACUGUGUGGCUGCCUUCUGUUCAUUCAAGGUGUUUUCCAUUAGUUUCUAGGUGUGGCAGACUGGCUCAAGUGCAACGGUCCGCUCAGGUUAACGUGGUGAAUAGGUUUUCGUGUGGCAGUCGUAUUUUUUUAUAGUGAGGAACGCCAUUGGUUACGAGGACUGAUUUGAUGAAUGAGUCUAACCUUCCUUUCUUUGCGGGUAUGAGAGUGACUAGUGUGAUGAAGAAGUGUGAGUGAAGUCCUUAUUCUUAAACGUAACGGCACUUCAGUAUACGCCUGUUUGAAUAGCCUAUCGUUGAAGUUUCGUGAUUCAAGUGAUAUCUUACCCCAACUUCAGCACCAUUAACGGGGAAAUCGACCAUGAAAACCCAUUAUGAAAACCUCGACAUAUGCCUGUAUGAAAAGCCAAUCGUGGAAGUCGCUGGGAUUUUCAUGGGCUGUUUCGUGAUUCCAGUGAUAUCUUAACCCGACUUCAGCGCCAUUAACGGGAAAAUCGCCCAUGAAAACCCAUUAUGAAAACCUCGAUAUACACCUGUUUGAAAAGCCCAUUGUGGAAGUCGCUGGGUUUUUCAUGGGCUGUUUCGUGAUUCCAGUGAUAUCUUAACCCGACUUCUUCGCCAUGAACGGGAAACUCACCCAUGAAAACCCACUAUGAAAACCUCGAUAUACACCUGUUUGAAAAGCCCAUUGUGGAAGUCGCUGGGUAUUUCAUGGGCUGUUUCGUGAUUCCAGUGAUAUCUUAACCCGACUUCAGCGCCAUGAACGGGAAACUCACCCAUGAAAACUCGGCUAAUCUUCUCUGUGACCUCGGGAAAUAGUCAUAAUGUGAGCCUGAGAUAUUUGCGGACAUGGGCGUGAGAGUUAGUCGGAAGAACACACCUGACAGGCGGCUUAAAAUAAUGAAAAAAAAGGGAAUGAGAAAAGAAAAUGAAUAUGUGCAUGAGUCAGUCGGAAGAACACACUUGACUGACGGCUUAAUGGAAGGGAAUGACAAAAGAAAAAGAAAUAAGAAUUAAAGAAAGGAGAAAAGACAGGCAAAGAGAAACACUGGAAGAAGGAAAGAAAAAACUAACCAUGAACUGUAUAUACCAAGUUAAGAAAUAAAAAAAAAGAAAUAACAGGCAUAGAGAAACACUGGAAGAAAGAUAGGAAGGAAAGAACAACCGAUUAACCGUAUUUACCAAGUUAAGUGAGUGAACUGUUGCAUUGAUACGAGAGCUGGUCUGUGUGUAGUUGGUGUGUCUCUUUGAAUGUCUCGGUUGAUGUUUAGCGAUCUCGGUUGAUGGAUAGUGUGUGUGUAGAGUGUUUAGGCUGGCGAGCAGGUAGACGACCCUUCCAAGAGUGUGUAAUGUUGUGUGUGAGAGAGAUACGGGGCUUGAAGGUAAAGGAAGGAUUGGGCGAGAUAGACAAUUUUAAGAUAUGCAUAGUUUCACACAUGUCACGAGAAAGCCAACAAGAAGAUACCCAAAAGAAGAAAGAAAUAAAAGAAUAAAAAAAUAGUUGAAAACGUAGUAGGCUAUAUAUAAAGUGUACGAAGAGAAAGAAUGAAAAGAUAUCCGAAGAAAGGGAAGAAAAAAUACCAAAAAGGAAGGAAGAAAGAAGCAAGAAGGGAAACAAGGUAUACAAAUGAUGAUGAUGAUGAUGAUGAUGCCCUUCCAUACAAGAAAAUUUAAUGUUUAUGAGAGAUUCGGGUCCUGAAAAUUAAGGAAAUAUAAGGUCAGAUGAAGUUUAGGAUAUGUAUACUUUCCUACAUGCCCAGAGAAAGGUUACAAAAAGGAUAUACUGAUGCCCUUCUAUACAAGAAAGUGUAAUGUGUAAGAGAUUCGGGUCCUGAAAAUUAAGGAAGGAUAGAGUCAGAUGAAGUUUAGGAUAUGUUAACUUUCCUACAUGCCCUGAGAAAGGUUACAAAAGGGAUAUACUGAUGCCCUUCCAUGCAAGACUGUGUAAUCUUGUGUGUGUGAGAGAUUCGGGUCUUGAAGGUAAAGGAAGGAUUGGGUGAGAGAAAGUUUAGGAUAUGUUGGGUAUCAUGUCCGUAGAGUCUUGUCAGGAGGAAAUGAUGGACAGAAUGAAUAUCUCCCAUCCAUCAAUGCCCAGCGAUGAAGAUUUUAACCCGGUAGCAGCGACGGACCAAAUUUGUGGCUUCACCGUGUAGCAGCGACAGGCCAAAUUUGUGGCUUUACCAUGUAGCAGCGACGGGCCAAAUUUGUGGCUUCACCAUGUAGCAGCGACAGGCCAAAUUUGUGGCUUUACCGUGUAGCAGCGACGGGCCAAAUUUGUGGCUUCACCAUGUAGCAGCGACAGGCCAAAUUUGUGGCUUCACCGUGUAGCAGCGACGGGCCUAAUUUGUGGCUUUACUGUGUAGCAGCGACAGGCCAAAUUUGUGGCUUUACCGUGUAGCAGCGACGGGUCAAAUUUGUGGCUUUACCGUGUAGCAGCGACGGGCCAAAUUUGUGGCAUGAUUUAAACCCCCCAAAAUAGAUGAUGCAUAAACUGAUCACAAAUGCGUUGAUAUAUAUUAUGAAAUGGUUUGCGUGAGUGAUGAUUUUUUCUCAUUUUCUCGCUUAGAGGGGCCUUUAAGAAACAUGAUCCCCGCAGCUACCGGGUUAAGGCUGAUCGAUUGGGUGGAUACAUUACUUGAUAUCCCCAUUUUAAAAGCUAAGAGGGGAAUUUCAUGUCCAUAGAGUCUUAUAAGGAGGGAAUAAUUGGACGGAAGGAAUAUCUCCGAACCAUCAACGGACACCAAGAUUGAUUUUUUUUAUUUUUUUUUUUUUUUUUUAUUUUUU